AUCAAAAAUAAAUGAAGUUUUUAAAAUUUUAAAAUAACUAUAAAGUUUAGAGACGACUAUGAUAAAUCUAUUUAAGUUGAGGAAUGAUGAGUGAAACUUAGCCAUAAGGUAAUCUGGAAACUUCUAACAGCUGGUCAUAGAAUUUUAAUAAUACUCAAAUUGAAGUUCAUAGAUUUUUAUGAUACAAAUUAAAGUUGAUAGAUAUUACUGAUAGAACCAACUAAGUUGAGGGACUAUAAGUGAAACUAACCGAAGAAAUGGACAAUAAACAUAAAUUACCCAUGAUAUUUUAAUAUAAAAGUACAUAAAAUGCCCAUAUUAAAUCCAUUUUAAUUUUGAAUGCAUAUUUACUUAAAACCAGCAAUGUAUUAAAAUAAUUUUUUAAGAAAUUAGAUUAUGAAAACUCUAAACUGUAUAUGAAAAUUUUAAAUUAAUGAAUUUAACACCAUUAAAUAAUGCACCUAAAACAAUAGAUAAUUCUAAGUUAUGUCAUAUUCGUCUUCAAUUAUAUUUUUCUUAGUAUUCAAUUUGUAAAUAAUGAUUUUUUAUGAGAGGAUUAAAUAAAUUAAUGUGGUCUAAACUCUCACACUUGAAACCUUUAAAUGUAUUGCUAAAAAUA
RNAcentral lists this unclassified non-coding RNA (619 nucleotides) under Hevea brasiliensis (rubber tree). Lineage: Eukaryota; Viridiplantae; Streptophyta; Magnoliopsida; Malpighiales; Euphorbiaceae. The record is from RNAcentral.